UUUCCCACAAAUCCCACCCUCUUCUGCAUGCACUACAGUAGAGGACCAGAGCAGAUAAAAGGAGGACACACAGGACACUCAGGAUAUCAGACACUCAGGAAAUCACACAAGAUUCAAACAUGGCAGGAUUUUUGAUACCAGGACUUCUCAAACUUCUGUUUCCGGCCAAACCAGCAUUUGUCAGAGUUCUGGCUGAUAAAAUUGUUACACGUGGAGGAACAGUUAUUCUUCGAUGUGAGGCAAACACAGAAUAUGUAACGGCAACGUGGGAAAAAGACGGCAGUAAAUUUGAUUGUGUAGCGGGCAGACAUAAGUGAAUACAACAGAUAAAAUAUUUGCUUUGGAAAUUUUAAAUGCUGAUGAGGCUGAUGAAGGGAAAUACACUUUAACCCUCAGCAACAUAUCAGGAUCUGCAUCAUGUUCCGCUUUCAUCAGAGUCGAAAUUAAGAAAUGGAGAGAAGUGCGAUGGCAGAGUCAAGCUGAAAUGUUAAAUAAUAUCAAGACAUUUAACAUUUGUAAUGAAGUUGAAGAGCUCCACUUCCUCUUGUAUGGACCAGUUGGAGCAGGAAAAUCCAGCACCAUAAACACCAUCAAAAGCAUCUUUGAAGGACGUCUGUUUGUAAACUGCCAGGCUGCUGCAGGAUCUACUACGAGUCACACUCU
Silurus meridionalis is the source of this 663-nucleotide long non-coding RNA. RefSeq lists it as uncharacterized. The transcript has 6 exons. Lineage: Eukaryota; Metazoa; Chordata; Actinopteri; Siluriformes; Siluridae. The record is from RefSeq and is a predicted model, not a curated record.